GGCGGGUGGGAAGGUAGUGAGUCAUCUCGAUGUCAGCUACAGAUGGACCACUUGGUCCUACCCCGUACCCUUCUCACUGCAGCACCUGACUGGCCUUCA
This is a Y RNA of Callithrix jacchus (white-tufted-ear marmoset), 99 nucleotides long. It matches the Rfam family "Y RNA". From Rfam's summary of the family: Y RNAs are components of the Ro ribonucleoprotein particle (Ro RNP), in association with Ro60 and La proteins. The Y RNAs and Ro60 and La proteins are well conserved, but the function of the Ro RNP is not known. In humans the RNA component can be one of four small RNAs -- hY1, hY3, hY4 and hY5. NCBI's taxonomy places the organism in Eukaryota, Metazoa, Chordata, Mammalia, Primates, Cebidae. The record is from Ensembl.